RNAcentral lists this ribosomal RNA (362 nucleotides) under uncultured bacterium. RNAcentral's name for it is "bacterial SSU rRNA". It matches the Rfam family "Bacterial small subunit ribosomal RNA", at positions 28 to 392 of the family's 1533-position model. The record is from RNAcentral.
GACGAACGCUGGCGGCGUGCUUAACACAUGCAAGUCGAGCGGUAAGGCCCUUUCGGGGGUACACGAGCGGCGAACGGGUGAGUAACACGUGGGUGACCUGCCCUCAGCUCUGGGAUAAGCCUGGGAAACUGGGUCUAAUACUGGAUAUGACUCCACGGUGCAUGUCGUGGGGUGGAAAGCCUUGUGCGGCUGAGGAUGGGCCCGCGGCCUAUCAGCUUGUUGGUGGGGGAUGGCCUACCAAGGCGACGACGGGUAGCCGGCCUGAGAGGGCGACCGGCCACACUGGGACUGAGACACGGCCCAGACUCCUACGGGAGGCAGCAGUGGGGAAUUGUUCGCAAUGGGCGCAAGCCUGACGACGC